GCACAAGAGGGAAGUUGAUUAGAAAUAAUGCAGUGAGUGGUCCGAACAGUAGGCCCGGCCAGUCAGAAUCACUGCUGUGGAGGGAAUCAGCACACGCAGGCUGUGUCCGCAGAGAGACAUUCGCCCUUUGGAGACAUUUUCACGUUCCCGGAGGCGACAGUGAUGUGUGGGUCGGAACGCUUUUUAAAAGCCAUGAAGUCUGCAUGACCUUAGUCGGGAAGUAACCCAGCCUCUACUUUUGUUCUAUGCAAGAAGACAGGGAGUUCUUGUUUCCUGCAGAAGGCAGUGAUCUUGCAGAGAAAUCUCGUGAUCUAAGCUCCUGCACAGAACUUAAUCCAGGAGACCUGCAGGCUUGUCCAGGGGUGCACAGAACAC
Molecule: long non-coding RNA, 375 nt
Filed under: Fukomys damarensis (Damara mole-rat)
Lineage: Eukaryota; Metazoa; Chordata; Mammalia; Rodentia; Bathyergidae
Description: lncRNA (ENSFDAG00000030517.1)
Source: RNAcentral